GCCUUCGUGGUGUAACGGUAGCACACUCGGCCCAUAUUCGAGAGGUAUACGGUUCGAGUCCCGGUGAGGGCA
RNAcentral lists this transfer RNA (72 nucleotides) under Stegodyphus mimosarum. It matches the Rfam family "tRNA". From Rfam's summary of the family: Transfer RNA (tRNA) molecules are approximately 80 nucleotides in length. Their secondary structure includes four short double-helical elements and three loops (D, anti-codon, and T loops). The record is from Rfam by way of RNAcentral. Lineage: Eukaryota; Metazoa; Arthropoda; Arachnida; Araneae; Eresidae.